RNAcentral lists this ribosomal RNA (229 nucleotides) under Entransia fimbriata. Its description in RNAcentral is "partial 26S ribosomal RNA". It matches the Rfam family "Eukaryotic large subunit ribosomal RNA", at positions 1 to 227 of the family's 3401-position model. Lineage: Eukaryota; Viridiplantae; Streptophyta; Klebsormidiophyceae; Entransiales; Entransiaceae. The record is from RNAcentral.
UUUGACCUCAGAUCAGGCAGGAUUACCCGCCGAAUUUAAGCAUAUUACUAAGCGGAGGAGAAGAAACUAACAAGGAUUCCCCUAGUAACGGCGAGCGAACCGGGAAGAGCCCAACUUGAAAAUCUGGCGGCCUUGUCGCCCGAAUUGUAGUCUAAAGAAGCGUCCUCUGCAGCGGAUCGGGCCCAAGUUCCCUGGAACGGGACGUCAGAGAGGGUGAGAACCCCGUCGA